Molecule: ribosomal RNA, 411 nt
Filed under: uncultured bacterium
Lineage: Bacteria
Description: bacterial SSU rRNA
Rfam family: Bacterial small subunit ribosomal RNA
Source: RNAcentral
GAACGAGAAAGUGGAGCAAUCCAUGAGUAAAGUGGCGACCGGGUGAGUAACACGUGACUAACCUGCCCUUGAGUGGGGGAUAACCUCGGGAAACCGGGGCUAAUACCGCAUAACAUCGCAAGAUCAAAGGAGCAAUCCGCUGAAGGAGGGGGUCGCGGCUGAUUAGUUAGUUGGUGAGGUAACGGCUCACCAAGACGAAGAUCAGUAGCCGGCCUGAGAGGGCGCACGGCCACACUGGAACUGAAACACGGUCCAGGCUCCUACGGGAGGCAGCAGUGGGGAAUUUUGCGCAAUGGGGGAAACCCUGACGCAGCAACGCCGCGUGGAGGAUGAAGUCCCUUGGGAUGUAAACUCCUUUCGAUCGGGACGAUUAUGACGGUACCGGAAGAAGAAGCACCGGCUAACUCUGUG